GGUCUCUGAGGGCUUUGUACUUGUUGUUGUUCCUUUCCUUAUACCACCCUUUUGUGGUCUCUGUACUUGUUCUUGUUCCUUACCUUAUACCAUCCUUUUGUGGUCUCUUGAGAGCUUUGUACUUGUUGUUGUUCCUUUCCUUACACCACCCUUUUGUGGUCUCUGAGGGCUUUGUACUUGUUCUUGUUCCUUACCUUAUACCAUCCUUUUGUUGUCUCUGAGGGCUUUGUAAUUGUGCACUAAAGACAUAUUACAGCCUGUAAAAUGGUGUAACACCUUUUUCAUAACUGAUAGCAUAAAACCUAUUUAUAAACGCUCCUUUUUGGCGAGUGGCAAUUGUUCGAGCUGCUGUCUCAGACUUUAUACCCACUUCUCCCAACAUGUAGUAUUUGAACUCGAGAGCAAAGGUAG
RNAcentral lists this long non-coding RNA (411 nucleotides) under Mytilus galloprovincialis (Mediterranean mussel). The record is from RNAcentral. Lineage: Eukaryota; Metazoa; Mollusca; Bivalvia; Mytilida; Mytilidae.